This 478-nucleotide ribosomal RNA is filed under the name uncultured bacterium. RNAcentral describes it as "partial 16S ribosomal RNA". It matches the Rfam family "Bacterial small subunit ribosomal RNA", at positions 28 to 507 of the family's 1533-position model. The record is from RNAcentral.
GAUGAACGCUGGCGGCGUGCUUAACACAUGCAAGUCGAACGGGAAUUAUUUUAUUGAAACUUCGGUCGAUUUCAUUUACUUCUAGUGGCGGACGGGGGAGUAACGCGUGGGUAACCUGCCUUAUACAGGGGGAUAACAGUCAGAAAUGGCUGCUAAUACCGCAUAAGCGCACAGAGCUGCAUGGCUCAGUGUGCAAAACUCCGGUGGUAUAAGAUGGACCCGCGUUGGAUUAGCUGGUUGGUGGGGUAACGGCCCACCAAGGCGACGAUCCAUAGCCGGCCUGAGAGGGUGACCGGCCACAAUGGGACUGAGGCACGGCCCAGUCUCCUACGGGAGGGAGCAGUGGGGAAUAUUGCACAAUGGGGGAAACCCUGAUGCAGCGACGCCGCGUGAAGGAAGAAGUAUCUCGGUAUGUAAACUUCUAUCAGCAGGGAAGAUAGUGACGGUACCUGACUAAGAAGCCCCGGCUAACUACGUG